This is a long non-coding RNA of Mytilus californianus (California mussel), 835 nucleotides long. RefSeq lists it as uncharacterized. NCBI's taxonomy places the organism in Eukaryota, Metazoa, Mollusca, Bivalvia, Mytilida, Mytilidae. The transcript has 2 exons. The record is from RefSeq and is a predicted model, not a curated record.
CCUCUUUAUAUGGAUCGACAAGUGGUGUAGAAUCCAGGUAUAUAAACGCGUAAACUGGUGGGUUAACAAAUUAUUAAAAGUUAAUAAUGGAAGAUGGCACUGUGACUGUAGACGAGUGGACAAAAUUGUGGAAAGAUGGCAAAACAGAUUUUCACAUUUCCGAACUUUGCAACAUGUUUACUAAACACGUUGACAAACUGUUAAACAAUCGCGAAAAGGUUAAAACGUUCGUUCCCCUCUGUGGAAAAGCUGUAGAAAUGAAAUGGCUUUGGGAUAAAGGACACGAAGUUGUCGGAAUCGAAUGUGGUGAAGAAGCACUGAAAGAAUUUUUUAAAGAGAACAAAAUAGGAUACAGUAUAGUAGAAAUUCCUGAGCUUAAAGGGAAAUUAUAUAAAAGUGAUGAUGGAAGAAUACGGUUAUAUUGCUGUGAUUUUUAUCUGUUUAACGCAGGCAUUGAAAGUGGAUUUGGAGCAGUUUGGGAUAGUGGUGCUUUAAAUGCCAUCAACUUAACGGACCAGGAGAAGUAUGUUGCUAUCAUCAAAUCACUUAUGGGAAAUAAAUGCGUUAACCUCACUGUUAUCGACGACGCUACGGAUUGGGAAAUUCCAGUUAAUUUUGACAAAAUGAGGACUUGGUUUAAAGAUGAAUUCAGUGUGGAAGCAAGUGAUUAUGUGAAAGCUGACGAAAAAUUACAAUCUUUCGGUAUCAAAGGGCAACAACUGUACACUAUAUCUAAAAUAUGAAAAUGUGUCUUUACAACUUGUACAUCAAUGCAUAUCUUGUUUUAUUUUUCUUUCUGAAUAAACACAAUAAAGAAUAACUAUUCCUAAUGUCA